RNAcentral lists this long non-coding RNA (10075 nucleotides) under Phoenix dactylifera (date palm). RNAcentral's name for it is "long non-coding RNA (PDAC_LNC002335)". Lineage: Eukaryota; Viridiplantae; Streptophyta; Magnoliopsida; Arecales; Arecaceae. The record is from RNAcentral.
CAGAGAGCCAUCUUCCUGGGUAUCAAAAUGGCCUCCUCGACCUCCCUCACUCUCCUCUUCUUCCCCUUCCUCCUCCUCACCCUCUCCCACGCCGCCACCUUCAACGUCGUCAACCAAUGUUCCUACACCGUGUGGGCUGCAUGGGCAGCCACCGGCAACGUCGGCGGCGGCCAGCAGCUCGACCAAGGCCAGACCUGGACGGUCACCGUCAACGCCGGCACCACCGGUGGCCGCAUCUGGGCCCGUACUGGCUGCUCCUUCGAUGCCAACGGCAACGGGAACUGCCAGAGCGGCGACUGCGGCAAGCUCGCGCGCCUGCACCUCCUACGGCUCCGCACCCAACACCCUCGCGGAAUUCGCCCUAAACCAGUUCCAGAACCUCGACUUCAACGACAUCUCCCUCGUUCAGGGCUUCAACGUGCCCAUGGACUUCCGCUCCACCUCGUCGGACUGCAGCCAAGAUAUCCAAUGCACCGCCGACGUCGUUGGGCAGUGCCCCAGCGAGCUUAAAGUGCCCGGCGGCUGUGAUGACCCAUGCACCAUCUUCAACGCUCCUCAGUACUGCCCCCCUAACGGCUCCAGCUGCGAGCCAACCACCUAUUCCGAGUUCUUUAAGAGGCUGUGCCCGAAUGCGUUUAGCUACCCAGAUGAUUAUGUGAACACCAGCUUCACCUGCCCCGGUGGGAGCAACUACCAGGUUACCUUCUGCCCUUGAGGCUUUGAGAGCAUGGUGAUCCAUGCAUGACGCUGUUUCGAGUAUGUGAUAGCUUUGGAAUAAGGUGUUUGUAACCAAAUUUACGAGCCAUUAAACUGGCCUGUGAUGCAUGCAGCAUUAUUGGAAUUAUAGAAAUAAUUGUUCACUGUUAGUAAAUGCACUUCUCCAUCUUCAAUAUCUUAUGGAUGACUACAAAAAUAAGAAAAUGGUAGAGCAAGUUGCUCUAUUCGGCAAUACAUUUUCUCUCCAGUAUGGCACUAGCGUAAUAUCUGGUAAAUGGACCCACUCCAGCGAUCACUGACCCCAUCAAUUGCACCAUCCCCUUUUGACCUGUGGAACAAGAAAUCCUGGAGUUAACGCCUAGAAGUUGAUCUAACAAAGUGAAUCACAACAAAAUUCUUUCACUCGUCAACUGCUGUUGUAUUAUAAGUAUUUAUACGAACAGAGAGAAACCAUUUGGAAAGUCCGGAAGAUGAUGUUUUUUAAUUUUUGAGUGAGAGGCUUGGGCCGAGCGUAGUCCAAUAUACUAAAAUAAAACAGAGUGCAAACGGUGACAUUUCACCACCCCCAGGCACCUUGAUUAAUUCUUACUAAGGCAGAAUUCAUUCAUUAUAUCUUUUAAUGAUUGUCAAAACUCAUAUAUGCAAGUAAUUAAUAUUUUAAUAGAUCCUUAUUGAAUUUGAUUUAACUAUAAAACAGAAUCUCCCAACAUGCUGAAUGGAACCUCGGGGCAUAAUAGCGAUGGGAUUGGGAGGUAAUAAAAAACAAUACAAUUAAAACACAACAGAAUCAACAACUCUCCCACCUCGUGCAAACAUGUUAGGAAAUAAAUAACUAAAGCCAAUCCAUCUAAUAUAUAUAUCAUAGAUAUUCACAAAUACCUAGCUGAUCAAAUUAUCAAAAACAUAAAAGCAACACUAAAUUUUACGUCGAAAAUUAAACCUCCCAAUAUGGAGAGUAAAAACAACGGGACCGUAGUCCACCCAAAAACUUUCACUAUCAACCAAGAAUGGAUAUUACAAUCUAUUCUCUCUAGCUAAAACUAGAGACAUAUAUCACCACAUAAUUUCAAGAACAAUAUUCUUGGCAAACAUCAACAAUAAGAAAGAGAAAAAAUGAGAAGAUCUCACAUGAACAGCAGUCAUGUUUUUGCAGAAUCUUAUUAUGCUGGAAGAUUGAAAAUAGCAAUCACACCGUAUAAAUUGAAGAACCACGUGUUUGAGCCUACUGUCAAAAUUUUAACUCAAUCGGACCUCGGAUUGCCUUCCAAUCGUCGUUUGAUCAAAACUGCACAUAGUGAACUAAUUCUACUCCUCCGCCGCUGCCUUCUUUUUUUUACGAAGACUCCUCACGCUGCCUGGCUUCUCCACAUAAAAACUGUCCUAAUGGGCCCCACAUUUUGGGCCAAAAGUUAUUCCAACUAAUAUGGGCUAAAAAUAAUUAAUUGAGCCCACAUUUGUUGAGCUAAGUCUUCUCCAACAUAAGAGGGACAACCCAACAAAUCUCCCCCUCCCGACUAUGUGGAGGGAUUCACCAUCCCAGCGAUCAAUCGACAUGUCAGUCCUAUGUCUAUUGUUGACUUGAAUUAGCAUACAAUAAACAAUACCUAAGUCCACAAAAAAGAUUAUUUUUUGCUUGUUAUAUAUAAAUUGUUUAAUAUCACAGUUGAUUUUGGAAGCUAACCAUCUUUUCUUGGAAGGUGACUCAGCGACAGUGAUUGGUAGGAUAAAUUGAGAUAGCCGACAUUUGGAUGGAUUAUGCAUCUUCACACAACUUAACGGGCCUACCUGGGACUUCUAACAAAGGACACGGUCAACUUAAGCAAAUGGAAAACGUUCUGGGUUGUUGGAAUCACCAGUCCAAACACGCAAGUAGGGAUGUUGAAACGAAUGAUUUUUUAUUAGCUCAUAACCACUGAUCGAAUCAUGUGCCUUACAUUUGUCCAUCACUUAUUGCCUCAUGAUGAAGAUAUGUACACGUACUGCAAAUGGCUACAGGAGUGUCAGUGCCAGCCGCCUGUGGUUCCCACCUAAAGUCAAGUCCAUCGUAUCUUUUCGUUUUCUCGGUAGACAAUUCCAUCCUAUCUUUGAACAUCGCCAACCACGCUGGCUACGUUGGACAAAGAAAACAAAAAAACAAAACGCUUCCUCCUCAGCCUACCCUCCCCCACCGCCCUAUAAAUACUCUUACUGCCCAUCCCACAACCCCACACAAUCCUCAACCAGAGAGCCAUCUUCCUGGGUAUCAAAAUGGCCUCUUCGACCUCCCUUACUCUCUUCUUCUUCCCUUUCCUCCUCCUCACCCUCUCCCACGCCGCCACCUUCGACGUCGUCAACCAAUGUUCCUACACCGUGUGGGCUGCAUGGGCAGACACCGGCAACAACGGCGGCGGCCAGAAGCUCGGCAAGGGCCAGACCUGGACGGUCACCGUCAAUCCCGGCACCCCCCGUGCCCGCAUCUGGGCCCGUACCGGCUGCUCCUUCGAUGCCAACGGCAACGGGAAGUGCCAGACCGGCGACUGCGGCAAGCUCGCCUGCACCUCCUACGGCUCCCCGCCCAACACCCUCGCGGAAUUCGCCCUCAACCAGAACUCCCCACCUUACUACACCAACCGCGACUUCAACGACAUCUCCCUCGUUCAGGGUUUCAACGUGCCCAUGGACUUCCGCUCCACCUCGUCGAGCUGCAGCAUGGAUAUCCAAUGCACCGCCGACGUCGUUGGGAAGUGCCCCAGCAAGCUCAAAGUAACCGGCGGCUGCGAUGACCCAUGCACCAUCUUCAAGACUGCUCAGUACUGCUGCCCGUCCGGCUCAAGCUGCGAUCCAACUACCUAUUCCAAGUUCUUUAAGAGCCUGUGCCCGAAUGCGUAUAGCUACCCGGAUGAUUAUAACAACACCCAAUUCUCCUGCCCCGGUGGGACCAACUAUAAGGUCACCUUCUGCCCUUGAGGCUUUGAGAGCUUGGUGAUCCAUGCAUGCAUGACGCUGUUUGGAGUAUGUGAUAGCUUUGGAAUAAGGUGGUUGUAACCAGAUUUACAGCCCAUUUCACAGGCCUGUAAUGCAGCAGUAAUAGAGUAAUAAAAACGUUGCAUAAUUGUUUGCUGUUAGUAAAUGCGCUCCUCCAUGUUCGAUAUCGUAUAGAUGACUAAUUACAGAGGACAAAGAAGAGAAUACUGUGGCAAGUUGCACUAUCUAUUUGGCAAUCCAUUUCCUAUCAGAUAUGGCACUAGCUAACUCCAACGAUAACUGACCCCACCAAUCGCACCAUCCCCUUUUGACAUGUUGGAUAAGAAAUACAGGUGCAAAAUGCAUCGAAGCUGAUCUUGCAAAUUGAAUCACUACAAAAUUCUUUCAUUAAUCUAUUAAUUGCUGUUCUAAUAUUAACUAUUUACAUGAACUAAGGGAAACUAUUAAUUGGAAACUCUAGAAGAUACAUCCAUGUAUUAUAUUUUAUUUGUUAUGACUGGAAGACUUGGCUUGAGUCUAAUCCAAUUUUAUUGAAUUAAAAUAUAGUACAAACGGUCAGUCAAGGUUACAUUAACCAAUAGGGCUGAAAUUUAACCACCCACAGGCCCCUUGUUUCUUAGGUAGAAUUCAUUUUAAAUUUUUUAUGAUUGGCUAAACUCAUGUAUGUAAGUGAUUAAUAUUUUAAUAGAUAACUUAAAGAAUUAGAUGGAAUUACCCAUAUAUAUAUAUAUAUAUAAACAUCUUCCGUGUGUUACCUUCUAUCAUAUAUAGUAUGUCGGCGUCCCUGUUGCUUACAAACAGAUGCUAUGGCCCAGCCGAAUAAUAUUGGAUUUAGUAUCUUCGGUACAGGAUCAUGAAGUUCGUCACAAGGAAAAAUUUCAUCGUGCACUAAGAUUUUGGAUAACCUGUGCAACAAAGUCCACUCCAUUUGACGAUUAGAUUGGACUAACUCCCAGAAGCCCAUGGAGGAAGUUUCUCAGAACUUGAAUUCCCUGUAAGUUAAGUUGCAAUAGGUUACGUAACUUUUCCGUAGGUUAUAUAUUCACUUAUGCAGCUUUCUUGAUUGCCUUUACAUCAGGAAAAUUUUAGAUUAAAGUAUGCAAGUGGAAUUGGUGUUAUGUGGGAGGAUGCUGAGAGGCCCCUAUUGGUGUUGUGUUGCAAUAGGUCCAGCUUCACUGGAUCGGGGCCCAAGCCCUAUUCAUUGAGGGAACCACCUUAACGGUUCCUCGAAUAAGAACGGGGCAUAAGAGAAGCCGUAGACUUUCUCUUGUCCCCUCUCACACCUGCCUCUCUCUCUCUCUCNNNNNNNNNNNNNNNNNNNNUCUCUCUCUCUCUCUCUCUCUCUCUCUCUCUCUCUCUCACUCACUCACUCACUGUCACGCGCUCUCUAGAUCGAUCUCUAUCUAAAUCUCACACGCUCUCUCUCUCUCUCUCCGAUGUCUCUCUCUCCUAUGCUCUUUCUCUCUUACUCACUUCUUCUUCUCCUCCUUUUCUUUCUUUUUCUCUCUUUAUAUCUCACAGCUAGCCCCAAAGGUGAUUGAAUCGGCAUCCAAAAUAUUCCCAAAGUACAUAAAACUCUAUUGUCCGUUGGAGUAAAGAAAGACAGCCAUCAUAAGACGUCUAAAUAGGUCUAGGCCGAAAAUAUAUAAUUUAUCAAUCUGAUAAUUACUGCAAAACACUGUGCCAAUGAACGUAUGUACUAGAGAAUAAAUAGCAUCAAAUAUCAAAAUCAUUGGGAGUGGAAGCCAGACACAGUGGCAAUCGUCAAAGUGGACAAUUAUUAUCUAUUAGUAUAAAUAAGUGAAAACUAUACCUUAUAUAGAUCCCUUCGACAAUUCAAAUCAAGAAUUAUAAUUUAUUUUAGUUCUUAAUCUACCAGUAGUUUCUACUCUUGGAGUAGCUGCAGUAACUUAAAAUCUCUACUAGUGCAGUCCAAUGCUACGCCUCUAUUUCUAUUCGGAUAUAUUUCUUUUAAGGAGUGGUAUGACGGUGAUGAAAGUCUUUGAAGGUCCAGGUACCUAGAUCCUUGCUACUCUUUGUCCUCUCUUCAAUCAUUAUCAUGUCAGCUGAUUCGACGUCGUUUGCAUGCCAUGCACCCACCAUAACUUUGCCACCCAACUUGUGUGGACAAGUUCUCUAGCAUGCCCAUUCCUUAGGUGGUGCGAGAGUGACUUCACGAUGACAAAUAGGUGAAACAUCGACAAAUUGUGAUUAUAGCUACCUUAGAGGUUAAGUGUUAAUUUAAAGGCUAAUCAUGUUCUAUAUCAUUCUUGUUACUAAGAAAAGUCAUCAGCCUAAUAUAGGGGUAACGACCUAAUUAAGCAGUAUCAGUGCUUAUCAAGAAGUCAGCAUGUCAGAAAUGGAGAUAGAUAGUUCAAAAACUAAAAUUGACUUUAGCAAACUUCAAGGGAAAGUGAUCAAAAUGGUGUUAAUUAAUCGAAGAUGUCAGGUGUCAGUGUUAGAGAGAGACAAUUGUUUAGAUCCAGAGAAGGGACAUUUUCUCUAUUCAAUGAUCAACAUUUUCAUUUUCAUCCCUUCUGCUAAUUUUGUUAUUUCUUUAUAUCCUCUAGCUUUUAUCCUUUAUCCUCAAUAGCAUAGCGUUGUAGCUAUCGCUUCCAUCUCUAGGAAGGCAGCAUCUAAUAGCGGAAGUCCCCAUAGAUUAAGAUGAGACAGCGGAACGUACCACCAUUUAUUCUUUUCGGUUGGAACAUCCAUGUUACGCCAGCGCAUCCAUCAAAUCCAACUAUUAAUUGCCAACUAGGAUGCAGGUUAAGUUGCUGCACUAUAAAAAGAAAAAAAACAAAACAUUAGUGAUGCUUUUUAUUGCCUAUACCGAAGCUUAUAAGCAUUAUUAGUUUUAUUAGUGAUACCUUAUAAAGCGUCGCAAAAGCGUCGAUUAUAUGAACGUUGAAAAAUGAAAUUGACGACGCUUGGAGAAAGCAUCGCUAACUGCCGACGCUUAUAAGUGUUUGCUAAUAGUAACGCUUAAUUGCAUCGCCAGUUAGCAACGCUACAAAAUAUCACUAAUAUUUUUUUAUAACAACGCUUUAAAACGUCAUUAUAUUUUAUUUUUUUUGAAAAAAAUAUUUAAAUUUUUUUUAAAACUCUGUAUAUAUGUACAUGCUAAAAGCAUCUUUAAAUAUGCUCGUUAUAUCAUUUUCUUAUACAAGAUUUCUUUUCAUGUUACUGGAUCCAAAACUAGAAGUGUGUUAUAAAUAGGAGGGUUGGUUACAUGGAGUCGGCAAUAUGGAUUCUCUAUGAAAUACCCAUUCAGUAUAACCUUUUAGAAAACCAUUGUACACAAAUAUUUUUCAAUAGUUUUUGGAGCGAGAAAAGAACUGUCUACAUAUUUUCGAUAUGGAUAUAAAAUCUUUUCGUUCAUAUUAGAUUUCUUAAAAGCAAAUUUAAUAAAAUUCUGAACUCCAUCCAAAUAUUCGGCACCGGAUUUCGAUUUAUUUAUCCAACUUUUGUCCAUUCGAUUAGAAUAUUGAUUGAACUAUAACUUAUCUAAAAAAGAUAAAUAAAAUUAGGGUAUAAAGAAGGAUGGCAUAAAAUUUAUUCAAUGAAAAGAUCAAAGAAGAGGAUGUUAAUAAACACGUGGCUGGAGAACGAUACAUUGUUCAACCAAACAUAUGGAUUCAAGUGGAUACUGAAAAAUUAUAACCAAACAUAUGGAUUCAAGUGGAUACUGAAAAAUUAUACAAAAGAAGUGUUCUUUAAUGGUAGUCAAAGAUGUUUAGAAUUCGUAAUUAAAUAGGUGCACUUGAGACAACUAGUUGUUGGGGGAUUUAAAAACAUAAGAAAAACUAAUGCCAUUUUUACAGCAUAUAACUGCAUUUAGGAAGAAAAUAAGGAACUCUAAUGGGUUGAUACUUUGACUUAAAAGUCAGACAAGGUUCCAUUAUAAUUUUGGGUUCAGGUUGGGUCUUUGGCAUGAAAGAACAUUUGAUAUUCUUUCGCCUGUGGGACCGUCCGAUGGGGAUGAGCAUGUUGAGAUUGGGGCGGAUGGGGAAACAGAGUCGAAACUGAAGAGAGCCGUUAAGGCCAAUAUGCAUGAUUAAUCAGAGUAGCACAACAAUACAAAAAAAAAAGAAUAAGAUAAGAUAAGAUAAGGAAAAGUGAAUCAUUAAUCAACACAAUGGAACCUCAUUCUCUAAUGGUGUUUGCAUAAGCUAAUCAGAGGCUCGAAUCAAUAAUGGUAUCAAAACUACAAAAUCCACAAGAAAUAAAAAAUGAACUGCAGAUAUUUAAUUCUUUUGGAAAAUAAAAUAUAAGAAAGAAAAGAAGAACAACAGUCAUCUUAGUACUGAAAACAAGAAAGCUCUCUGAUAAAAAAUUGGCAUUGAACAAAUUAUGGAUUCAAGAAACUGAGCAAACUAAAUCUUCGGUUCAUUGAACCAAAUAAACAGAAAGGGACCAAAGGGUACAGCACAAAUCCGAAAAGGAGAGCAAGGAACAUUAAGAAGCAUGAGCUGAACAACUCCCCAAGCUUCUCCGGGACAAAAUCCUCGGUGCUCGGCCCUCGACAUGAGGCCUCCACCAAAAAUAUCACCAGGGAGGUCGGUUGGUCGGUCGGCGCCGGAGAGAAAGGAAGAGGAGAAAGAUACCUGUGACGGAUGGAGACGGAGCUCGAUAGGAGGAUUGGGAUUGGUCGGUCGGCGCCGGAGAGAAGAAAAAGAAAGUUAGGAUUGGUGGAAAAUGAGGGCUAGUGGGUCGCGUAUUAGGGUUUUUUAGUGGGGUGUUAGCCUCCAACGAUGCUCAUAAGCAUCGUCUUAGGUCCUUGCCCUCUGACGAUACUUAGAAAUAUCGUCUUAGGUCCUAGGCUUCCGACGACGCUUAUAAAUGUUUUCUUAGAUUAGUGUUUAGGCGGAGUUCAGUGGAAGUUAGUGUUAAGAAAGUGUCUAGUGUGUAGAAUUCUAACGACGCUUUUAAGCGUCGUUUGCUCCUUUUCCUCAUUCUAUUUUUUUGGCCUCCAACGAUACUUAUAAAUGUCGUCUUACAAUUUAAUUUCAACGAUGCUAAUUAGUGAUGUCAUAGUUUCAUCCCUGCAGACACUACUUAAAAGUGUCGACAAAUUUUGACACCGAAGACAAAAUUACUGACGCUUCUACCUAACAUGAACAUGUAUAUGUCAGCAUUUUUCCCUUUUUCUGGAGUGCUGCAUCUCAACCUAAUGCUGCAACUUGAGUCAUUGUAGCCCGACAUUUUGUAGCACUCCAAAAUCUUCGAGUGGCCUAGUGGCGGAAAACUAUGAGCCCCCCCAAAAAAAAUAGUUAUACUGUAAAAAUAUUCACACAUAUGUUGAACUAUUUGAUUACAAAGAACAUGUAUUAUAAUCUCUAAGAUAUUUUUUAUUGGAAAAAGGUUCUAUAUAUUCGUGCUUAUACAAAAUAAUAAAUCUCCUGCUACACUUUGGGAAUUCACAUGCAUUUGCCAUUAGUCCAAUGAUCUCCCAUGAUGGCAACACGAGAAAAUAUAUAGUUUUAAUACUUUAAAGGGUUCAACAAAAUUACAAAAUUAUCCAACCAUUAUUAUUAGGGAACUUUUUUCUUAAAACAAGUUUAAAUUUAUUAGAUCACCAAAAAUAAUCAUUAAUAAAAAUUAAACUUUAAUGAGCUUUUUGUACGCGUUACACGUGUUGAAAAUGCCAAUCUUUGAGACGCCGAUGUACCGCGAGAACAUUGCCCUUCAUUUUUCCACUCCUCCCGUCACAGCCGCCUGUGGUCCCCACAUAAAGUCCAGUCCAUCCCAUCUUUGACUAUUAUAAACUGCACAGGCUGCGCUGGUUAUAAUAAUAAUAUAAAAAAAAUGCCUACCUUAAAGAGUGACUCGGCCACAGUUGGAUCCAAAAAAUUUCAGGGGUAACAGAUGCGAUCAUCCUUUACUCCGAGAUAUCUGCGUAAUAUUGAGGAAUGGUGGAGCCUUCCAGAUCUAGUAUAUUUUUCGAAAAGUCAAUAGAGCUGCGGAUUGAAUAGUUGCUUAUAUGGCCAGUCACUCCGGCAGUACCAUAUAAACUGGAGAUGGAGAGUUAUUUUAGGCACUUCAAAGCAUUUUGUUUUCUGACUUUAUUGGGUGUAUGGUAUAAGAACACGUGCCGCGCGUCCCAACACCCCACACAAUCCUCAACUAGAAAGCCAUCUUCCUGGAUAUCAAAAUGGGCUCCUCGACCUCCCUCACUCUCCUCUUCUUCCCCUUCCUCCUCCUCACCCUCUCCCACGCCGCCACCUUCGACGUCGUCAAUCAAUGUUCCUACACCGUGUGGGCUGCAUGGGCAGACACCAGUAACCUCGGCGGCGGCCAGCAGCUCAGCAAGGGCCAGACCUGGACGGUCACCGUCAAUCCCGGCACCCCCCGUGCCCGCAUAUGGGCCCGUACUGGCUGCUCCUUCGAUGCC